Molecule: ribosomal RNA, 432 nt
Filed under: uncultured bacterium
Lineage: Bacteria
Description: bacterial SSU rRNA
Rfam family: Bacterial small subunit ribosomal RNA
Source: RNAcentral
AUUGAACGCUGGCGGCAUGCCUUACACAUGCAAGUCGAACGGCAGCGGACCUUCGGGUGCCGGCGAGUGGCGAACGGGUGAGUAAUAUAUCGGAACGUACCUUUCAGUGGGGGAUAACGCAGCGAAAGUUACGCUAAUACCGCAUAUUCUGUGAGCAGGAAAGCAGGGGAUCGCAAGACCUUGCGCUGAUUGAGCGGCCGAUAUCAGAUUAGCUAGUUGGUGAGGUAAAGGCUCACCAAGGCGACGAUCUGUAGCGGGUCUGAGAGGAUGAUCCGCCACACUGGAACUGAGACACGGUCCAGACUCCUACGGGAGGCAGCAGUGGGGAAUUUUGGACAAUGGGGGCAACCCUGAUCCAGCCAUUCCGCGUGAGUGAAGAAGGCCUCGGUUGUAAGACUCUUUCGGUCAGGAACGAAACGGUAGGUCCGUAAC